CCCCCCCCCCCCCCCCCUCCCCGUUCCAGGUGGAUACUCUUCGCCAUGUUAUCAGCCAGACCGGAGGAUACAGUGACAGUCUGGCAGCCAGCCAGAUGUACAGUCCACAGGGCAUCAACGCGAACGGUGGCUGGCAAGAUGCGCCCACCCCCUCGUCAGUGACAUCACCCACAGAAGGCCCCGGAAGCGUUCAUUCGGACACCUCCAACUGAAUGGUUCAAUCUCCACACCUGCAAAAAUCGAACUGGCCUUGCUCUUCACAGUAUUAAAGAUAAAGGAAUUCACCGGUCCGAGGUUUUUGGGAAGAGCGGGAAAUCCUAUCUCUGGAAAGGAAUUAAAAAAACAAACUUUCUUCUGCUAUGAUGUUGGACAUUCGGGAACUCGACACAAAACUAAAAGAAUAUCACGAUGAAAAUGAAAACGGUUGCGUAUUGAAUGGAGUUGUUUGUACAGAUUACACAUUAUAUUCAGAGGGCUGGGUUUACUUAUUCACAUGUGAUGUUUUCACUCAUGACGAUGAAAUGACGUGAUACCAUUAAUUAAUCAACCCAUUUGGUUUUGACUGAAACUACAUCAUUCUACCUCUCAGCCACAAAAAAAGUACUAAAAAUGUCAGUGACCCAUUAUUUGUUUUGUAAAAAAAAUGACUUUUUGUCUUUGCAAGCAAGAGGCACAUCUUCUUACGUACAUUUUGUUGUCUCUCACCUAUUCUAUGGUACGCCAUUUAGACUUAAAUAUUGAUUAGUUGUUUACAAUGUGUUCUUGAUAAUGCUCAUCUUCCCAUCUGUCUCCGACCAGUCCGAGCCGAUUGCUGUCGGGAGAUAUUACCUCUAAGGUAACCCUGUGACGUAUGUUAUCUGUAAACAAUAAGAAAAAUAAAUACUUGUCAUGAACUCAGAGAAGCUGGAUUGGCCUGAUCAUUCAUUCAGCGGAGCGUUAAGUCAGGUGGUUUCCAUAAAGGAAAGUCUUUGUUGCCAAAGUAGGGCAUUGGAGCAAUUCAAUUAACCUGCUUCAAAGGUUGUCUCUUGAAUGUGCUCAAAUUAAACACAGUAAUUGUGAUUCUAGAUUACAUUUUUCAGAACAGCCAAAUUACCAUUUUUCAAUUUAAACAACAUUCUAAUGUAACAUCUUUACCAAUAUAUGUAUUUCUCUCGGCCCCAGUACAAUACCGUGUGCUUACAAUCAGCUGUGAGAAAUACACAUGCACAGAAACGUUAAAAAUAUCAAAUCGAUAAAUAAGUGGGAAAAUACAAAGAUCUACGCUUUUUUUCCCGGUCCUAUUUUGUAGCAUAUUAUAUUCUUUGUUUCUUUUGUUGUUGUCGUACAUUCAAUUAGCCUCUAAUUUAUUCGGACCAAUUCAAACAUCACCUUGACAUGGAUGUUGUACAUUAGUCAAUACUUACUGUACUACAGGAAACAAAUGGCCUGAAUCUACACUGUAAAACAAAUCUAGAAUGACACCGUCACAUGUCUUUGGAAGCCCAUUCUGAUGAAGAGACGGAGCGAAGCUGAGCAGAUGUUGCCACAAAUAUAUGUUUUCUUCUUUUUAAGGAAUCUGGGGGAACCUUGACAAAUGGUACCAUGGUUAAAUUACGCUCAUUCAGAUUUUCAAAUAUAUGGUUAUCAAUAUAAAAAAGGAGGAGACAUCUGAUCGUGUCAGACAGUGUUUCACCGGACCCCGUCCUGUUUGUAUACAACAUGUUUUGUGGGUUCCUAUUUUGUGUCCUAAAAGCUGAACGCCUCCCAUUACAUUUUGUGUUGCUCUCCACAUGAAACUUGCUCAACGUGCAGCAUUGUGCUUGAAUAAUGUUCUUAUUUGUUGUUCGACCAAUUAAAAUGCUAUCUUGUGCAGCGGGGAUAUUCA
Gadus morhua (Atlantic cod) is the source of this 1864-nucleotide long non-coding RNA. RefSeq lists it as uncharacterized. The transcript has 2 exons. NCBI's taxonomy places the organism in Eukaryota, Metazoa, Chordata, Actinopteri, Gadiformes, Gadidae. The record is from RefSeq and is a predicted model, not a curated record.